UCCUGUCUGUCUGUACAACACCCAGACCUCUAUGGUUCACUAGUGGCUAGCUCUGCCCUCUAAUCUUCAGACAAGCUUUAUUUGUUAGAGUAUAAACAAGGUAUCACCACAGACAGAAAUAGUCAACAUUUGGCAAUACUGUGGGAACUACUAGUUGAAAAUCAUUCAAAGAUUCAACAUUAGAUGUGCCUAUACUAUAUUCCUUUUGAUAAUAUCAUUAUACAGUUGGGGUUUUGGUAACAGCUGUAAUUAAAAGCAAGCACCAUAUAAAACUCUAUGCAGAACUUUAAAUGAAGUUGGUAUAUCUAAACUGGUCUAACUUUCACAAGCUCUGAAGCCUUGGCUGUUUUGAGAAGUUGUUCAAUACCCAACAGGUGAAUAAAAUUAUGUAUAUACAUUAUAUAUGCAUAAAUGUAAAAUGACUACUAGGCCAUUAGAAGAUAAUUUUCUUAAGUUGUUUGGACCUAAAUACUCAAUAAAUGGAACUGAUAGGUAUAUCUUUUGGUCUAGAAAACCAGGCCAAAAGCUGGGUGUUGUGGUGCACACCUUUAGCCCCAGCACUAGGGAGGUAGAGGCAGUCAGAACUAUGAGUUCAAGGCCAGCCUGGUCAGAGAAAGUUCCAGGACAGCCAGGGCUGCACAGAGAAACCCUGUCUUGAAGAUCCAGAAAAAGAAAACCAGGUCAAAGUUACCAAGCAAGGCAGCUCUAAAACAACAAAAGUGGAGGUGGGUGUAGUGGUUCAUGUCCAUAAUCACAGCAUUUGGGAGGCUAAGAAAGAAGGAUUAUAAAUUCAAAACCAGCCUUGACUGCAUCUUAGAAGGAAAUACUAGCAAGACUCUGUAGGCUUCUCUCUUUACUGAUGCUUCCUGGCCAACUUCUUGCCAGGGCUAAUACUGUAGGACCCAAAUAUCCAGUCCUCGUUAUGCUGUGCUUUCCCAGUAGUUGCUGGAGCUACUGUUUAAAAUCAGAUCAUUUCUUUAAAACCAUCUUCUGGAUUCUUACUGCUUUUGGAAUAAUUUCAAAAUAUUGACCAUGUCCUGUGAAGUUUUGCAAAAUUAACCCAGUAUUCCUUUGGCUUUAUCACCUAAUCAUCUUCAUUUCCUCUUCUCUCUCUCCAAUUAAUAUUCUUUUUAAUGGGCAAACCAUACUUCCAUAUAUUUAUAAGGUUCAACAUGAUAUGUGAAUAUACAUUAAUAAUACACAAAGAUUAAAUCAGGCAGAUUAUUCAUGGUUCAUCAUUUUCUGGUAAUGAGACAUUUAAAAUUUAGUAGCCUAGUCAUUUUGAAAUAUGUAAUGCAUUAUUAUUGACUGUGGUCACCUUGUUGUGCAAUUGGAUUUCAAACCUCAUUCCUUUUGCCUACCUCAAACGUUAUAGCCUUUGACCAGCAACUUAUCAUUUGUUGCAGAAUAUUCCUGUGCACUGUGUGAAAAUGUAUUGCUGUUAUUGGUGUAAUAAAGAGCUUAAUGGCCAAUAGCUACAGGAUUUUUUGAAGCACAGAGAAUGCUGGGAAAAAGGGUGGAGUCAAUAGCCAAAUGAAGAACAAGCAGCAUGAACAGUACAUAGAUGAGGUAUUUUUGAUGCUGCUGGUAUAUAGACCAUGCCUUGAGAACCAUUUGAUAAAGGGUCUGACUUCCUGGGAGCCUAACAAGAUUGUACCACCAUCUCUGAAUGAUGAUCAAUUACAUUAGUGCUGAAGCUCAAACUCGGGGUUCUAUGCCUGUCAAGAAAGCAUCCUAACCAUUGAAUUACAUCCUGCCCUCUAUAUCUUUUUCUAAAGCAAAGGUUUGUUUAUUCUAAUUAAAAAACCAAAUACUACAAACAGAAUAAAAUAUAAACAGAGCUACUAAGACACACAUCACACUUUAGGGUACUAUAUUUUAAAACAUAUAUUCAGUUGAUAGUGAAUGUUAUUAUUUUAAAAUGUCUUUAAUGACAAAUAAGGUUAGAUGUAUAUUUUCAAUUGUAUUUUUUCUGAUUUCAUUGUAGAUAUCCCCUUUAAUAUUGCUUAGCUUACAUUUACCAGUUUAUUAGAAUAAAUUUAUAUUAAAUAUAUUAGGAAUAUACAUGUUGCACACACAUGCAAACAGAACACUUACACAAAAUAAAAUAAACAGUUGAAAAAUUUCAGAGCGCUAGACAGUUUACAGUUGUUUACUUUGGUAUUAUUUAAGGGCACAAUUAAGAUGAGGAAUUUAAGGUGGAAAUCCGAAUCACUUGAAUUUCAGCAUUUUUUUUUCCCCUCUGAAGGAAAGAGAUUCUUGUAAGGGGAAAUAAGUAGAGGAAAGCAUCUGCAAAAAAUACAUUUUGCACAAGAAUAAAACAGUUCCUGCCACUAAGAUACCUAAAAAUAUAACAAGCAGAGACUUAAAGGUCAUCUGAGUGCAUGUGCUCAUUUCAAAUAGAGAAGACGUGGCAUUCUGAGCUACAUAGUUAAUGCAAGAGACGAGCUCUGAAGACAAGGUCUUCAAAUCCUUGACCCACUGCUCUUUCACUAUACAAAUUUCACUCCAACAAGUGAGCACAAGCUUCAGAGGGAGAGGCAUUUGGGAGAAGGAUAGGAUUUCCCCCCAAGUGUAAAGAUCCCUGCAGAAGCAUCAAUGAGUCAUACUGUCUGCUGCUGAGACCCUUUGAAGGAACACCGGAGAAAGAAGACAGAGGGUGAAGGUGUGUGGAGUGAGAAAUGGGCUUCGGCAUUGACAGUGACUGGCAACAAAUGCUUCCUUCAUGAAGUGUGGAUUCUGAAGCAAGAGGAUGAGGGGUGGUGUUUCAGAAUAUUAUUUAAGAUGUGUUACAUUUGUUUAUGCUGUGGAACAUUUGCUUUAAUGAUGCAAAGAUGUGUUGCAUUCUUU
This is a non-coding RNA of Cricetulus griseus (Chinese hamster), 2850 nucleotides long. Lineage: Eukaryota; Metazoa; Chordata; Mammalia; Rodentia; Cricetidae. The record is from RefSeq and is a predicted model, not a curated record.